GAACGGCAGCACGGGAGCAAUCCUGGUGGCGAGUGGCGAACGGGUGAGUAAUAUAUCGGAACGUGCCCAGUCGUGGGGGAUAACGCAGCGAAAACUGUGCUAAUACCGCAUACGAUCUCUGGAUGAAAGCGGGGGACUCGCAAGGGCCUCGCGCGAUUGGAGCGGCCGAUAUCAGAUUAGGUAGUUGGUGGGGUAAAGGCCUACCAAGCCUGCGAUCUGUAGCUGGUCUGAGAGGACGACCAGCCACACUGGAACUGAGACACGGUCCAGACUCCUACGGGAGGCAGCAGUGGGGAAUUUUGGACAAUGGGCGCAAGCCUGAUCCAGCAAUGCCGCGUGCAGGAUGAAGGCCUUCGGGUUGUAAACUGCUUUUGUACGGAGCGAAACGGUCUGCCCUAAUACGGCGGGCUAAUGACGGUACCGUAAGAAUAAGCACCGGCUAACUACGUGCCAGCAGCCGCGGUAAUACGUAGGGUGCGAGCGUUAAUCGGAAUUACUGGGCGUAAAGCGUGCGCAGGCGGUGAUAUAANACAGAUGUGAAAUCCCCGGGCUCAACCUGGGACCUGCAUUUGUGACUGUAUCNCUAGANUACGGNANAGGGGGAUGGGAUU
RNAcentral lists this ribosomal RNA (611 nucleotides) under uncultured beta proteobacterium. Its description in RNAcentral is "bacterial SSU rRNA". It matches the Rfam family "Bacterial small subunit ribosomal RNA", at positions 64 to 668 of the family's 1533-position model. Lineage: Bacteria; Pseudomonadati; Pseudomonadota; Betaproteobacteria. The record is from RNAcentral.